This is a long non-coding RNA of Accipiter nisus (Eurasian sparrowhawk), 1645 nucleotides long. NCBI's taxonomy places the organism in Eukaryota, Metazoa, Chordata, Aves, Accipitriformes, Accipitridae. The record is from Ensembl.
AUACAAUGUCUGCUCCAAGUGGCAUCCCUGUCCCGUCUGCACCACCUUCUUAUGAGGAAACAACAGGAAUCAAUGUGAGCUAUCCUCACACCUAUCCUGUCCCAGAACCUGGCCAGAAACCAGAUGGGAAGGGAAUGAACCCUCCCCCAUACCUGGGACAGCCUGCACCAGCAAAUAACCCGAUUACAGUUCAGACAGUGUAUGUGCAGCAACCAGUAGUAUUUUAUGACCGCCCAGUUCAGAUGUGCUGCCCUUCCUGUAACCAGAUGAUCGUGACACGUCUCUCAUAUGACUCAGGAGCUUUGACUUGGCUGUCAUGUGGUGGCCUCUGCCUGCUGGGGUGUAUAGGUGGCUGCUGCUUAAUUCCCUUCUGCAUUGAUGCCCUAAAGGAUGUGGAUCACAGCUGUCCGAACUGCAAUGCUCUUAUUGGUUCUUACAAACGCUUGUAGGCAGUGUUUAAACAUUGAUAAUUCAUUGAUGAAGUUGGCUAGCACCUCUGCAAGCCCUUUCUGAAGUUUCAUGGAGACUUCUGGUUGUUUCUAUGCAUCCUGUCACUUGAAACCAAUCAAAAGAUCCUUGGAGAGUUUAAGUUACGGAGCUUCCUGUUUUGCAGACUGUGUAGGACACAGUGCAUCGUACUCCCCCAAAAGAGCUAGGUACAGCUACAAGUAUUCAGCAGUCACAAACACUUUCCUGCAGGGAAGUAUUUACAAAAGCAGUGGCAUCUCUCUGGAGAGCACAGUGAUCAUUGAGGUACUGGGGAAUUGCCAGAUGGUUUUGAAAGUGCAAGAUGUACAGAUUAAGAAAAGUUUUGCAUCCAGAGAGGAGCCUCUGAAGGAAAUGGACAGUCUAAGGAAAAUACUAGAACAGCAUCCUCUUCGUUUUUCUUUCCAUGAUGGGAAAGUUCUGAAGCUCUGUCCUGUGAGGAGUGAACAGACCUGGGCACUGAACAUAAAGCGAGGCAUUCUCAGUGUCCUGCAGACGUCACAAGCAUCCACUGCUAGUGCAGUCAUUGAAGAGGUGGAUGUUCUGGGAAUAUGCCCAACCAGGUAUCAGCGAAAAGGUCCUGUUCUUGUCAAGACAAGGGACUUAAACCUCUGCUCUCAUCGGUAUUCUGGUUUUACUUCUGUGCAGUCUGUUGUUCUACCUCAUAUGUCAUCUGAGCAGCAGAUCCUGUCCUCCACACUGGAAUGUGUUCAGAGCAUUAAGGCUGGAGUCCUGGCAGAGGCCAAAUGUGCUGAGUCCAAUGUUGUUACAGUGUUCUCUCAGAAGGGCAGUGAGGCAAAGACGCAGACACAGUGUUUGCUGAAACUCCUACAAGUGGAAACAGAGACACUGUACAAAAAAGUGGACUCCGAGGAUCUGUAUGUGACCAGCAUGCUCUAUGAAAGGGAAGAAACUGAGAGGGAAGUCACUGGAGGAGAACUGACUGAACUAGUGUGGAAACUUUGCUUAGCACAUAGUGUGAGUUUUGAGACUGCAGAUCUUUUCCUGACUCUCGUGUUUGAGCUUCGACGUCUUUCUCUUGAGGCCUUAAAAGCGCUAUGGCAAAGAUCUUCAUUUAAAUGCAGAGACAACUGGUAAGGGCCCUUUAGGAAUUGCAUUAAAAAUAUAUAUAGAGAGGAAAGAAAUGUAAGUAUUUAAA